GAAUAUUGCACAAUGGGCGAAAGCCUGAUGCAGCAACGCCGCGUGCGCGAAGAAGGUCUUCGGAUCGUAAAGCGCUUUUCUGGGAGAUGAGAAAGGACAGUAUCCCAGGAAUAAGUCCCGGCUACCUACGUGCCAGCCGCCGCGGUAAAACGUAGGAGGCGAGCGUUAUCCGGAUUCACUGGGCGUAAAGCGCGUGCAGGCGGUUUGGUAAGUUGGGCGUGAAAGCUCCCGGCUCAACUGGGAGAGGUCGUCCAAAACUACCAGACUAGAGAGCGAUAGAGGAAAAUGGAAUUCCCGGUGUAGUGGUGAAAUGCGUAGAUAUCGGGAGGAACACCAGUGGCGAAGGCGAUUUUCUGGAUCGUUUCUGACGCUCAGACGCGAAAGCUAGGGUAGCAAACGGG
RNAcentral lists this ribosomal RNA (401 nucleotides) under uncultured bacterium. RNAcentral describes it as "bacterial SSU rRNA". It matches the Rfam family "Bacterial small subunit ribosomal RNA", at positions 359 to 776 of the family's 1533-position model. The record is from RNAcentral.